RNAcentral lists this ribosomal RNA (2403 nucleotides) under Escherichia coli. Its description in RNAcentral is "partial 23S ribosomal RNA". It matches the Rfam family "Bacterial large subunit ribosomal RNA", at positions 418 to 2806 of the family's 2925-position model. Lineage: Bacteria; Pseudomonadati; Pseudomonadota; Gammaproteobacteria; Enterobacterales; Enterobacteriaceae. The record is from RNAcentral.
CGGGACACGUGGUAUCCUGUCUGAAUAUGGGGGGACCAUCCUCCAAGGCUAAAUACUCCUGACUGACCGAUAGUGAACCAGUACCGUGAGGGAAAGGCGAAAAGAACCCCGGCGAGGGGAGUGAAAAAGAACCUGAAACCGUGUACGUACAAGCAGUGGGAGCCUCUUAAUGGGGUGACUGCGUACCUUUUGUAUAAUGGGUCAGCGACUUAUAUUCUGUAGCAAGGUUAACCGAAUAGGGGAGCCGAAGGGAAACCGAGUCUUAACUGGGCGUUAAGUUGCAGGGUAUAGACCCGAAACCCGGUGAUCUAGCCAUGGGCAGGUUGAAGGUUGGGUAACACUAACUGGAGGACCGAACCGACUAAUGUUGAAAAAUUAGCGGAUGACUUGUGGCUGGGGGUGAAAGGCCAAUCAAACCGGGAGAUAGCUGGUUCUCCCCGAAAGCUAUUUAGGUAGCGCCUCGUGAAUUCAUCUCCGGGGGUAGAGCACUGUUUCGGCAAGGGGGUCAUCCCGACUUACCAACCCGAUGCAAACUGCGAAUACCGGAGAAUGUUAUCACGGGAGACACACGGCGGGUGCUAACGUCCGUCGUGAAGAGGGAAACAACCCAGACCGCCAGCUAAGGUCCCAAAGUCAUGGUUAAGUGGGAAACGAUGUGGGAAGGCCCAGACAGCCAGGAUGUUGGCUUAGAAGCAGCCAUCAUUUAAAGAAAGCGUAAUAGCUCACUGGUCGAGUCGGCCUGCGCGGAAGAUGUAACGGGGCUAAACCAUGCACCGAAGCUGCGGCAGCGACACUGUGUGUUGUUGGGUAGGGGAGCGUUCUGUAAGCCUGUGAAGGUGUGCUGUGAGGCAUGCUGGAGGUAUCAGAAGUGCGAAUGCUGACAUAAGUAACGAUAAAGCGGGUGAAAAGCCCGCUCGCCGGAAGACCAAGGGUUCCUGUCCAACGUUAAUCGGGGCAGGGUGAGUCGACCCCUAAGGCGAGGCCGAAAGGCGUAGUCGAUGGGAAACAGGUUAAUAUUCCUGUACUUGGUGUUACUGCGAAGGGGGGACGGAGAAGGCUAUGUUGGCCGGGCGACGGUUGUCCCGGUUUAAGCGUGUAGGCUGGUUUUCCAGGCAAAUCCGGAAAACUAAGGCUGAGGCGUGAUGACGAGGCACUACGGUGCUGAAGCAACAAAUGCCCUGCUUCCAGGAAAAGCCUCUAAGCAUCAGGUAACAUUAAAUCGUACCCCAAACCGACACAGGUGGUCAGGUAGAGAAUACCAAGGCGCUUGAGAGAACUCGGGUGAAGGAACUAGGCAAAAUGGUGCCGUAACUUCGGGAGAAGGCACGCUGAUAUGUAGGUGAAGUCCCUCGCGGAUGGAGCUGAAAUCAGUCGAAGAUACCAGCUGGCUGCAACUGUUUAUUAAAAACACAGCACUGUGCAAACACGAAAGUGGACGUAUACGGUGUGACGCCUGCCCGGUGCCGGAAGGUUAAUUGAUGGGGUUAGCGGUAACGCGAAGCUCUUGAUCGAAGCCCCGGUAAACGGCGGCCGUAACUAUAACGGUCCUAAGGUAGCGAAAUUCCUUGUCGGGUAAGUUCCGACCUGCACGAAUGGCGUAAUGAUGGCCAGGCUGUCUCCACCCGAGACUCAGUGAAAUUGAACUCGCUGUGAAGAUGCAGUGUACCCGCGGCAAGACGGAAAGACCCCGUGAACCUUUACUAUAGCUUGACACUGAACAUUGAGCCUUGAUGUGUAGGAUAGGUGGGAGGCUUUGAAGUGUGGACGCCAGUCUGCAUGGAGCCGGCCUUGAAAUACCACCCUUUAAUGUUUGAUGUUCUAACGUUGGCCCCUGAUCGGGGUUGCGGACAGUGUCUGGUGGGUAGUUUGACUGGGGCGGUCUCCUCCUAAAGAGUAACGGAGGAGCACGAAGGUUGGCUAAUCCUGGUCGGACAUCAGGAGGUUAGUGCAAUGGCAUAAGCCAGCUUGACUGCGAGCGUGACGGCGCGAGCAGGUGCGAAAGCAGGUCAUAGUGAUCCGGUGGUUCUGAAUGGAAGGGCCAUCGCUCAACGGAUAAAAGGUACUCCGGGGAUAACAGGCUGAUACCGCCCAAGAGUUCAUAUCGACGGCGGUGUUUGGCACCUCGAUGUCGGCUCAUCACAUCCUGGGGCUGAAGUAGGUCCCAAGGGUAUGGCUGUUCGCCAUUUAAAGUGGUACGCGAGCUGGGUUUAGAACGUCGUGAGACAGUUCGGUCCCUAUCUGCCGUGGGCGCUGGAGAACUGAGGGGGGCUGCUCCUAGUACGAGAGGACCGGAGUGGACGCAUCACUGGUGUUCGGGUUGUCAUGCCAAUGGCACUGCCCGGUAGCUAAAUGCGGAAGAGAUAAGUGCUGAAAGCAUCUAAGCACGAAACUUGCCCCGAGAUG